CUAUGUCAUCUUAUGACAUAAAGUCGAAACAUACACUGUGUUGCAAAAACGUUGAUUUAUUCGUUUAUUUAUUUAUUGCUUAGUUGGGUGGCCGAAUUCACGGCCCACUUGGUGUUAAGUGGUUAUCGGAGCCCAUAGACAUCUACAGCGCAAAAGCCGCCAUCCACUUUGAGACAUGAGUUCUAAGGCUUCCUGCAUGAUGCACAGCUAACUGAGCGACACUCUGGGCAACGCAAUUUCUUUUGUUUUGGAUGAACAAAGAAUCCCGAAGCACAUUCCAUGCACCAUCUAAAAUUGGGGUCUCGAGCCAGAGUACGGUCACGCAACUAAAACAAAGAAAAACUCAUUCAAAUGUUUCUACUUAUGAAAUCACACAAACUUAAAUAUAAUUAUUUCUAAAUUGAUUAGCGAAAAGAACUUACAGCUAUAGAGAUAUCUAUACGACCAAGAAGAGGUUCAAGAAAUUACAGCCGAGACCAACCUUCAACAGUGCAGUAACCGGAAUCCGGAGGGACCAAUUGUCAUUUUAAUUUUUUUAAUUAUUCAACAAACACACAAAUUAGUGCAUCAAUAGGCGUUUUUGAAAAAAUACGCCGUGCUGUCUCUGAUGUUGAAAUGUUUAUUAAUUUCAGCGCAUAUCAAAUUAUAGUUUUCGUUACAGCGAUUAUUGGACUUGAUUAAAAAUAGUUGAAAUUUAAUGUACUCUAUUACAUUAAAUGUUGAAUAAUUACCUUUCUUUGGAAUAAUUCGUGCACUUCCGUUUCGAGUAACGUCUUAAGUAGAAUAUCCAAAUGUGCGAAAUAAUCUAACCAGGCGUCUUCGGGAAGAUUUUCUAAAUCUGGAACUUUGCAGUAUGGGCACACGCAGUCUGCUAUGCUCCUUUCCGUGAUUUGAACUGUGAAGUAGUGUCGGGCGCAUUCUCGACAGCAUCGGAUUGAAGGAUUACUGGUGGCCCGGAAGCAUUUCUAGUUUCAUCAGGACAGGUGGGCGAACAAAGGCUCAGCCAGGAUAGCGGGAGUUGCUAACAGCAGCUCGAGCGCCUCCGAAGGAGACCUAACAACUCAAGAGCAGCUGCUUCGCGAAUGAAUCUAUUACCGGCUCGGAAUCGCGACCCGCUGAGAAGAUCCGGCGAGAAACUCAGCGAGCUGAUGCAUGGGUUAGGUUGCGCGUCGAACUCUUGGUCGAGUUCGACGAGUACGAUCCGGAUCCGGAGCAGGGCUGCUUGUAAUUUAUAAAACAAUAACCAUUGACUGCCUUAAUGGAGAACUCGACUUUAUCAAUUGGUGGACUACCGUUCGUUCAAUGGCUGCGAGUACCCGCUUAACAGUAGGUAUGCUGUGUGAGCAUUAACUCAGAUAUGAGACCUAAUAAAAAGGAGGCCCCAAACUCAAAAGAAAAUAUUCUUUUCAGCUCGUAAACAAAAAUGGGGUCGAAAAUAAGUCAAACAAGAUUUAUAAAAUUAUUGAGAAGUAUGUUUAAACACACAUACCUAAUUUAUAUAUAUGAAAUAAUGUAUGUAUGUUCACCUAAAAUUAUCUUUCUGCAUCGUCUCAUGGCUUUUAUGUUUUAAUAUAAAAUUACAUAUUGUUGCGCGCGAAGCCGCGGGCGCAGCUUGUAUUAUAAUAAUAUACGUUGCGAUGCCGUGUAUCUGGCAAAUUAGAAAAAUGAACAUUUACUUGAAAAACAAAUCAAAAAUUUUUAAUUCGAAAAUGUUAUUUACAAAUUUCGGAAAAAAUAAUUUCUAUUUAUUUCAAAUACUUUGCGUCAGAUUUAGCGCGUUUGCUUAAGACUGUUUUGAUAGAUAUUAAAUUAUGACCGGUACAUAAGAUGUUGAAAAUAAUUUAAACAUGGUUAUGUAGAUUUGCUACCGAAUUCGCAAGUAAGUACAUCGGCAUUAUUGUUAAGUUUUUUGUGUUUAUUAUCAUGUGCAAAUGGCAGCUGUGACCGGGAUAGUGCGGGCGUUGCCGCGUCGCCGACGCCUUGUCGACCCAUUUACCGCCACUCAUAUCCCAAAAUAUCCAAAACGAUGUUCGUACUCUAUGAAUAAAAUUAAAAUUCAGUUAGGUUAGUGAGUACACUGUAAUUGAAUAUUUAAUAAACUAUAACGACAAAAAAAAAUUGUUAAAAUAAAUUGUCAGAUUUUAAA
This is a long non-coding RNA of Bombyx mori (domestic silkworm), 2146 nucleotides long. RefSeq lists it as uncharacterized. The record is from RefSeq and is a predicted model, not a curated record. The transcript has 5 exons. NCBI's taxonomy places the organism in Eukaryota, Metazoa, Arthropoda, Insecta, Lepidoptera, Bombycidae.